AAAUAGAACUUUGCAGAGAGAGUUAACAGGGCGUGAAACCGUUGAUUGGCAAACGAAUCGGAGCCACGAAGUCGUUUCGUUGUUAGUUGGGCGGAGUUCAGUUCGCGCCGAAAGACGCGGGCGUAUUCUCACGCUCAUCCAACCUUGUAAGCGUACACUGCAACUUGUUAGACGAUCAGCUGUGGGCUGAGUGACGCAGAGCGAGCAAUCGCGCUGCGGCACGCAUUGUCUGUUCGCUCGCGGUAGUAGUAGCGCAGCUGACUUCGGUCUUUUUGUGUUGCUGGCCGCGUGGCGGGUGAACUACAGCUGAAUACUGACAAGCGAAAUGAAAACCGUUGAAAAACGUUAGAGAAAAAGCGGUUGGUCACAUGGAUGUUUACACGUUCGACUGUUAGGCCUAAGCUUGGCAUUUUUGAAUUCAGACCUGCUUGCUACCAGUGGGGCAACUCCUGGUGCUUGUACGGCUUCUGUCUAAUCGGGUGUCGACUUGGCUUGGCAUCGUUCGGGCGUGAAACGAUUGAGCGUUCAUAUGAACUAAUCCGCAAUUUAAAUUGGCAGUGAGUAGGUCGGCUUUCCGAACGA
Molecule: ribosomal RNA, 582 nt
Filed under: Tetra pinnatifidae
Lineage: Eukaryota; Metazoa; Arthropoda; Arachnida; Trombidiformes; Eriophyidae
Description: partial 28S ribosomal RNA
Source: RNAcentral